RNAcentral lists this transfer RNA (86 nucleotides) under Streptococcus pneumoniae. Its description in RNAcentral is "tRNA-Met(cat)". It matches the Rfam family "tRNA", at positions 1 to 60 of the family's 71-position model. Rfam says of the family: Transfer RNA (tRNA) molecules are approximately 80 nucleotides in length. Their secondary structure includes four short double-helical elements and three loops (D, anti-codon, and T loops). Further hydrogen bonds mediate the characteristic L-shaped molecular structure. tRNAs have two regions of fundamental functional importance: the anti-codon, which is responsible for specific mRNA codon recognition, and the 3' end, to which the tRNAs corresponding amino acid is attached (by aminoacyl-tRNA synthetases). tRNAs cope with the degeneracy of the genetic code in two manners: having more than one tRNA (with a specific anti-codon) for a particular amino acid; and 'wobble' base-pairing, i.e. permitting non-standard base-pairing at the 3rd anti-codon position. Lineage: Bacteria; Bacillati; Bacillota; Bacilli; Lactobacillales; Streptococcaceae. The record is from RNAcentral.
ACGCGGGAUGGAGCAGCUCGGUAGCUCGUCGGGCUCAUAACCCGAAGGUCGUAGGUUCAAAUCGCGGUUCGAUUCCGUCUCGCGCC